CGAAGCCGCGAGGCGGAGCAAAUACCCAGAAAUAAAGUCCCAGUUCGGACUGCAGCCUGCAACCCGGCUGCACGAAGCCGGAAUCGCUAGUAAUCGCAGAUCAGCAUGCUGCGGUGAGUACGUUCCCGGGUCUUGUACACACCGCCCGUCACACCACGAGAGUUUACAACACCCGAAGUCAGUGGCCUAACCGCAAGGAGGGAGCUGCCUAAGGUGGGGUAGAUGAUUGGGGUGAAGUCGUAACAAGGUAUC
This 252-nucleotide ribosomal RNA is filed under the name uncultured bacterium. Its description in RNAcentral is "partial 16S ribosomal RNA". It matches the Rfam family "Bacterial small subunit ribosomal RNA", at positions 1250 to 1500 of the family's 1533-position model. The record is from RNAcentral.